GGGAAACGACCAAAGGGGCCAGCCUCAGGCCCCACAACAAACUGGGGCA
Homo sapiens (human) is the source of this 49-nucleotide regulatory RNA element. The record is from Rfam. NCBI's taxonomy places the organism in Eukaryota, Metazoa, Chordata, Mammalia, Primates, Hominidae.